UCCUGGCUCAGAUUGAACGCUGGCGGCAUGCCUUACACAUGCAAGUCGAACGGCAGCGGACCUUCGGGUGCCGGCGAGUGGCGAACGGGUGAGUAAUAUAUCGGAACGUACCUUCAGGUGGGGGAUAACGUAGCGAAAGUUACGCUAAUACCGCAUAUUCUGUGAGCAGGAAAGCAGGGGGAUCGCAAGACCUUGCGCUGAUUGAGCGGCCGAUAUCAGAUUAGCUAGUUGGUGAGGUAAAGGCUCACCAAGGCGACGAUCUGUAGCGGGUCUGAGAGGAUGAUCCGCCACACUGGAACUGAGACACGGUCCAGACUCCUACGGGAGGCAGCAGUGGGGAAUUUUGGACAAUGGGCGCAAGCCUGAUCCAGCCAUGCCGCGUGAGUGAAGAAGGCCUUCGGGUUGUAAAGCUCUUUCGGCCGGGAAGAAAUCGCACGGGUUAAUACCCUGUGUGGAUGACGGUACCGGAAUAAGAAGCACCGGCUAACUACGUG
RNAcentral lists this ribosomal RNA (494 nucleotides) under uncultured bacterium. RNAcentral's name for it is "bacterial SSU rRNA". It matches the Rfam family "Bacterial small subunit ribosomal RNA", at positions 17 to 507 of the family's 1533-position model. The record is from RNAcentral.